Long non-coding RNA from Hylaeus volcanicus, 723 nucleotides. RefSeq lists it as uncharacterized. NCBI's taxonomy places the organism in Eukaryota, Metazoa, Arthropoda, Insecta, Hymenoptera, Colletidae. The transcript is spliced from 2 exons. The record is from RefSeq and is a predicted model, not a curated record.
AGUCGUUUCUUCUAUAAUGCAUCGCGGGAAACAAUCAAAACGACAUUUUGGAGCGAGUCCAGUUUAUACGAGCGACGAAUAGCCGAUCGUUUUCUGCUUACGUUUGAGUUUGGACGAUUCUCGGUUUUUUUCGCAUCAUUGGGAUCGAAAAUGUCGAGAUACGAAGGAUUUAAUCGCCCUCUAUAAAUGUUUUAUUGCGUAAAUGGCGACCAGGAUGAGACCGAUUGAAACUUAAUGGUGUAUGAGGAAGAAGGUCAUGGGGAAUGUCGCUAGAUAUGUUUAUAAAAAGUGCAGAAAUUAUUUAAUACAAAAUAAGAUACUCUGAAUGACAUAAAUGUCCUAUUCUGCAAGACACGUGGCUGUACAGCCACUAAAAACUGUACUUUUAAACAGGUCCUGAAGAAAAAACGGAAAUAAUGUUAUAAUUUAAAAAAUAUUUUUGAUAACAGUGAUAGUAAUUGCCCAACAGGCCAAAGAAGAUGUUUCUGAAACAAUUUCUAAGGAUCGGUAGAGUUGGUUGGAGCCGCGACACUGACCUUGGAUUCGUGGCCAACACUGUAGAAGUUCCUCUACGUUCCUCAACGAUAAGCAUCCACGAGCAUUUUCCAUUGGCGACAGGAAUGGGCAAAAUCUUAUUCGAAUAAUCAAUUUAUUAUAGUUCAGAACUAGUGAUUAUCCUUCGUAAUAUGGAAAGCAUAUAAUAAAUAUAAUUUUAUUAUUUCA